GAUGAACGCUGGCGGCGUGCCUAAUACAUGCAAGUCGAGCGAACAGAUGAGAAGCUUGCUUCUCUGAUGUUAGCGGCGGACGGGUGAGUAACACGUGGGUAACCUACCUAUAAGACUGGAAUAACUCCGGGAAACCGGGGCUAAUACCGGAUAAUAUUUUGAACCGCAUGGUUCAAUAGUGAAAGACGGUUUCGGCUGUCACUUAUAGAUGGACCCGCGCCGUAUUAGCUAGUUGGUAAGGUAACGGCUUACCAAGGCGACGAUACGUAGCCGACCUGAGAGGGUGAUCGGACACACUGGAACUGAGACACGGUCCAGACUCAUACGGGAGGCAGCAGUAGGGAAUCUUCCGCAAUGGGCGAAAGCCUGACGGAGCAACGCCGCGUGAGUGAUGAAGGUCUUCGGAUCGUAAAACUCUGUUGUUAGGGAAGAACAUAUUUGUUAGUAACUGAACAAGUCUUGACGGUACCUAACCAGAAAGCCACGGCUAACUACGUGCCAGCCGCCGCCGUAA
Molecule: ribosomal RNA, 514 nt
Filed under: uncultured bacterium
Lineage: Bacteria
Description: partial 16S ribosomal RNA
Rfam family: Bacterial small subunit ribosomal RNA
Source: RNAcentral